RNAcentral lists this long non-coding RNA (5459 nucleotides) under Citrus x clementina. Its description in RNAcentral is "Citrus clementina (C. clementina) long non-coding RNA (CCLE_LNC002170)". Lineage: Eukaryota; Viridiplantae; Streptophyta; Magnoliopsida; Sapindales; Rutaceae. The record is from RNAcentral.
GGUCUUGGCGCCCCGACCUUCGGGGGCUGAAUUUUGGGCGCGGGUGUGCCCGUGGCCUAUUUUUGGCACACGGAGGCCGCCCGCAAAGUCUGGGGCCCCAAGGCUAUAGCCCACCCGUUUUUUGGCCAUUUUUCCGCUGGGGGGUCUUGGCGCCCCGACCUUCGGGGGCUGAAUUUUGGGCGCGGGUGUGCCCGUGGCCUAUUUUUGGCACACGGAGGCCGCCCGCAAAGUCUGGGGCCAUUCCGAGUCCGGCGGACGAACUUCGCCCACGCCCCCCACCAAGGCUAUAGCCCACCCGUUUUUUGCCCAUUUUUCCGCUGGGGGGUCUUGGCGCCCCGACCUUCGGGGGCUGAUUUUUGGGCGCGGGUGUGCCCGUGGCCUAUUUUUGGCACACGGAGGCCGCCCGCAAAGUCUGGGGCCAUUGCGAGUCCGGCGGACGAACUUCGCCCACGCCCCCCACCAAGGCUAUAGCCCACCCGUUUUUUGGCCAUUUUUCCGCUGGGGGUUCUUGGCGCCCCGACCUUCGGGGGCUGAAUUUUGGGCGCGGGUGUGCCCGUGGCCUAUUUUUGGCACACGGAGGCCGCCCGCAAAGUCUGGGGCCAUUCCGAGUCCGGCGGACGAGCUUCGCCCACGCCCCCCACCAAGGCUAUAGCCCACCCGUUUUUUGGCCAUUUUUCCGCUGGGGGGUCUUGGCGCCCCGACCUUCGGGGGCUGAUUUUUGGGCGCGGGUGUGCCCGUGGCCUAUUUUUUGCACACGGAGGCCGCCCGCAAAGUCUGGGGCCAUUCCGAGUCCGGCGGACGAACUUCGCCCACGCCCCCCACCAAGGCUAUAGCCCACCCGUUUUUUGGCCAUUUUUCCGCUGGGGGGUCUUGGCGCCCCGACCUUCGGGGGCUGAUUUUUGGGCGCGGGUGUGCCCGUGGCCUAUUUUUUGCACACGGAGGCCGCCCGCAAAGUCUGGGGCCAUUCCGAGUCCGGCGGACGAACUUCGCCCACGCCCCCCACCAAGGCUAUAGCCCACCCGUUUUUUGGCCAUUUUUCCGCUGGGGGGUCUUGGCGCCCCGACCUUCGGGGGCUGAAUUUUGGGCGCGGGUGUGCCCGUGGCCUAUUUUUGGCACACGGAGGCCGCCCGCAAAGUCUGGGGCCAUUCCGAGUCCGGCGGACGAACUUCGCCCACGCCCCCCACCAAGGCUAUAGCCCACCCGUUUUUUGGCCAUUUUUCCGCUGGGGGGUCUUGGCGCCCCGACCUUCGGGGGCUGAAUUUUGGGCGCGGGUGUGCCCGUGGCCUAUUUUUGGCACACGGAGGCCGCCCGCAAAGUCUGGGGCCAUUCCGAGUCCGGCGGACGAACUUCGCCCACGCCCCCAACCAAGGCUAUAGCCCACCCGUUUUUUGGCCAUUUUUCCGCUGGGGGGUCUUGGCGCCCCGACCUUCGGGGGCUGAUUUUUGGGCGCGGGUGCGCCCGUGGCCUAUUUUUUGCACACGGAGGCCGCCCGCAAAGUCUGGCGCCAUUCCGAGUCCGGCGGACGAACUUCGCCCACGCCCCCCACCAAGGCUAUAGCCCACCCGUUUUUUGGCCAUUUUUCCGCUGGGGGGUCUUGGCUCCCCGACCUUCGGGGGCUGAUUUUUGGGCGCGGGUGUGCCCGUGGCCUAUUUUUGGCACACGGAGGCCGCCCGCAAAGUCUGGGGCCAUUCCGAGUCCGGCGGACGAACUUCGCCCACGCCCCCCACCAAGGCUAUAGCCCACCCGUUUUUUGGCCAUUUUUCCGCUGGGGGGUCUUGGCGCCCCGACCUUCGGGGGCUGAAUUUUGGGCGCGGGUGUGCCCGUGGCCUAUUUUUGGCACACUGAGGCCGCCCGCAAAGUCUGGGGCCAUUCCUAGUCCGGCGGACGAACUUCGCCCACGCCCCCCACCAAGGCUAUAGCCCACCCGUUUUUUGGCCAUUUUUCCGCUGGGGGGUCAUGGCGCCCCGACCUUCGGGGGCUGAAUUUUGGGCGCGGGUGUGCCCGUGGCCUAUUUUUGGCACACGGAGGCCGCCCGCAAAGUCUGGGGCCAUUGCGAGUCCGGCGGACGAACUUCGCCCACGCCCCCCACCAAGGCUAUAGCCCACCCGUUUUUUGGCCAUUUUUCCGCUGGGGGGUCUUGGCGCCCCGACCUUCGGGGGCUGAAUUUUGGGCGCGGGUGUGCCCGUGGCCUAUUUUUGGCACACGGAGGCCGCCCGCAAAGUCUGGGGCCAUUCCGAGUCCGGCGGACGAACUUCGCCCACGCCCCCCACCAAGGCUAUAGCCCACCCGUUUUUUGGCCAUUUUUCCGCUGGGGGGUCUUGGCGCCCCGACCUUCGGGGGCUGAAUUUUGGGCGCGGGUGUGCCCGUGGCCUAUUUUUGGCACACGGAGGCCGCCCGCAAAGUCUGGGGCCAUUCCGAGUCCGGCGGACGAACUUCGCCCACGCCCCCCACCAAGGCUAUAGCCCACCCGUUUUUUGGCCAUUUUUCCGCUGGGGGGUCUUGGCGCCCCGACCUUACGGGGCUGAAUUUUGGGCGCGGGUGUGCCCGUGGCCUAUUUUUGGCACACGGAGGCCGCCCGCAAAGUCUGGGGCCAUUCCGAGUCCGGCGGACGAACUUCGCCCACGCCCCCCACCAAGGCUAUAGCCCACCCGUUUUUUGGCCAUUUUUCCGCUGGGGGGUCUUGGCGCCCCGACCUUCGGGGGCUGAUUUUUGGGCGCGGGUGUGCCCGUGGCCUAUUUUUGGCACACGGAGGCCGCCCGCAAAGUCUGGGGCCAUUCCGAGUCCGGCGGACGAACUUCGCCCACGCCCCCCACCAAGGCUAUAGCCCACCCGUUUUUUGGCCAUUUUUCCGCUGGGGGGUCUUGGCGCCCCGACCUUCGGGGGCUGAUUUUUGGGCGCGGGUGUGCCCGUGGCCUAUUUUUGGCACACGGAGGCCGCCCGCAAAGUCUGGGGCCAUUCCGAGUCCGGCGGACGAACUUCGCCCACGCCCCCCACCAAGGCUAUAGCCCACCCGUUUUUUGGCCAUUUUUCCGCUGGGGGGUCUUGGCGCCCCGACCUUCGGGGGCUGAUUUUUGGGCGCGGGUGUGCCCGUGGCCUAUUUUUGGCACACGGAGGCCGCCCGCAAAGUCUGGGGCCAUUGCGAGUCCGGCGGACGAACUUCGCCCACGCCCCCCACCAAGGCUAUAGCCCACCCGUUUUUUGGCCAUUUUUCCGCUGGGGGGUCUUGGCGCCCCGACCUUCCGGGGCUGAAUUUUGGGCGCGGGUGUGCCCGUGGCCUAUUUUUGGCACACGGAGGCCGCCCGCAAAGUCUGGGGCCAUUCCGAGUCCGGCGGACGAACUUCGCCCACGCCCCCCACCAAGGCUAUAGCCCACCCGUUUUUUGGCCAUUUUUCCGCUGGGGGGUCUUGGCGCCCCGACCUUCGGGGGCUGAAUUUUGGCUGCGGGUGUGCCCGUGGCCUAUUUUUGGCACACGGAGGCCGCCAACAAAGUCUGGGGCCCCAAGGCUAUAGCCCACCCGUUUUUUGGCCAUUUUUCCGCUGGGGGGUCUUGGCGCCCCGACCUUCGGGGGCUGAUUUUUGGGCGCGGGUGUGCCCGUGGCCUAUUUUUGGCACACGGAGGCCGCCCGCAAAGUCUGGGGCCAUUCCGAGUCCGGCGGACGAACUUCGCCCACGCCCCCCACCAAGGCUAUAGCCCACCCGUUUUUUGGCCAUUUUUCCGCUGGGGGGUCUUGGCGCCCCGACCUUCGGGGGCUGAAUUUUGGGCGCGGGUGUGCCCGUGGCCUAUUUUUGGCACACGGAGGCCGCCCGCAAAGUCUGGGGCCAUUCCGAGUCCGGCGGACGAACUUCGCCCACGCCCCCCACCAAGGCUAUAGCCCACCCGUUUUUUGGCCAUUUUUCCGCUGGGGUGUCUUGGCGCCCCGACCUUCGGGGGCUGAAUUUUGGGCGCGGGUGUGCCCGUGGCCUAUUUUUGGCACACGGAGGCCGCCCGCAAAGUCUGGGGCCAUUCCGAGUCCGGCGGACGAACUUCGCCCACGCCCCCCACCAAGGCUAUAGCCCACCCGUUUUUUGGCCAUUUUUCCGCUUGGGGGUCUUGGCGCCCCGACCUUCGGGGGCUGAUUUUUGGGCGCGGGUGUGCCCGUGGCCUAUUUUUGGCACACGGAGGCCGCCCGCAAAGUCUGGGGCCAUUCCGAGUCCGGCGGACGAACUUCGCCCACGCCCCCCACCAAGGCUAUAGCCCACCCGUUUUUUGGCCAUUUUUCCGCUGGGGGGUCUUGGCGCCCCGACCUUCGGGGGCUGAUUUUUGGGCGCGGGUGUGCCCGUGGCCUAUUUUUGGCACACGGAGGCCGCCCGCAAAGUCUGGGGCCAUUGCGAGUCCGGCGGACGAACUUCGCCCACGCCCCCCACCAAGGCUAUAGCCCACCCGUUUUUUGGCCAUUUUUCCGCUGGGGGGUCUUGGCUCCCCGACCUUCGGGGGCUGAUUUUUGGGCGCGGGUGUGCCCGUGGCCUAUUUUUGGCACACGGAGGCCGCCCGCAAAGUCUGGGGCCAUUCCGAGUCCGGCGGACGAACUUCGCCCACGCCCCCCACCAAGGCUAUAGCCCACCCGUUUUUUGGCCAUUUUUCCGCUGGGGGGUCUUGGCGCCCCGACCUUCGGGGGCUGAAUUUUGGGCGCGGGUGUGCCCGUGGCCUAUUUUUGGCACACGGAGGCCGCCCGCAAAGUCUGGGGCCAUUCCGAGUCCGGCGGACGAACUUCGCCCACGCCCCCCACCAAGGCUAUAGCCCACCCGUUUUUUGGCCAUUUUUCCGCUGGGGGGUCUUGGCGCCCCGACCUUCGGGGGCUGAAUUUUGGGCGCGGGUGUGCCCGUGGCCUAUUUUUGGCACACGGAGGCCGCCCGCAAAGUCUGGGGCCAUUCCGAGUCCGGCGGACGAACUUCGCCCACGCCCCCCACCAAGGCUAUAGCCCACCCGUUUUUUGGCCAUUUUUCCGCUGGGGGGUCUUGGUGCCCCGACCUUCGGGGGCUGAUUUUUGGGCGCGGGUGUGCCCGUGGCCUAUUUUUGGCACACGGAGGCCGCCCGCAAAGUCUGGGGCCAUUCCGAGUCCGGCGGACGAGCUUCGCCCAUGCCCCCCCACCAAGGCUAUAGCCCACCCGUUUUUUGGCCAUUUUUCCGCUGGGGGGUCUUGGCGCCCCGACCUUCGGGAGCUGAUUUUUGGGCGCGGGUGUGCCCGUGGCCUAUUUUUUGCACACGGAGGCCGCCCGCAAAGUCUGGGGCCAUUCCGAGUCCGGCGGACGAACUUCGCCCACGCCCCCCACCAAGGCUAUAGCCCACCCGUUUUUUGGCCAUUUUUCCGCUGGGGGGUCUUGACUCCCCGACCUUCGGGGGCUGAUUUUUGGGCGCGGGUGUGCCCGUGGCCUAUUUUUGGCACACGGAGGCCGCCCGCAAAGUCUGGGGCCAUUCCGAGU